CCACGGACGCAGCAGUAGGGAAUCUUCCACAAUGGGCGAAAGCCUGAUGGAGCAACGCCGCGUGGGUGAAGAAGGUCUUCGGAUCGUAAAACCCUGUUGUUAGAGAAGAAAGUGCGUGAGAGUAACUGUUCACGUUUCGACGGUAUCUAACCAGAAAGCCACGGCUAACUACGUGCCAGCAGCCGCGGUAAUACGUAGGUGGCAAGCGUUAUCCGGAUUUAUUGGGCGUGAAGGGAACGCAGGCGGUCUUUUAAGUCUGAUGUGAAAGCCUUCGGCUUAACCGGAGUAGUGCAUUGGUAACUGGG
This 305-nucleotide ribosomal RNA is filed under the name uncultured bacterium. RNAcentral's name for it is "bacterial SSU rRNA". It matches the Rfam family "Bacterial small subunit ribosomal RNA", at positions 339 to 637 of the family's 1533-position model. The record is from RNAcentral.